RNAcentral lists this long non-coding RNA (22664 nucleotides) under Ananas comosus (pineapple). Its description in RNAcentral is "long non-coding RNA (ACOM_LNC028746)". Lineage: Eukaryota; Viridiplantae; Streptophyta; Magnoliopsida; Poales; Bromeliaceae. The record is from RNAcentral.
AAUAAAAAAAUGUUUAAAACUGAAACAAACCCAUAUCAAAAACCAAACCUUAAUUAACACUCCAUUCAAAGCAUCAAUGAGCCAAAAAAACAACAAAUUGAUAGCAAAUAAUCACAGGGUGAAAAGAAAACCCAAGUGCCCAAACUCUUUACCCCAUAAAAAAGUAACCAUUUUUAGCAAUAGUCAAUAGAGAGAGAGAGAGAGAGAGAGAGAGAGAGAACACACCAAUCACAUUAAAAUUGUUAAAAAUUGAAAGAAACCCAUCUCAAAACCAAGCCUUAAGCACUCCAUCCAAAGCAUCAAUGGAGCAACAAAACAACAAAUUGGUAACAAAUAACACAAAAUCACACAGUAAAUCCCAGAACCCAAGUCCCCAAACACUUCACACCCCCCUCCAAAAAAAAACCUUUUUUCUUAGCAAUUUAGAGAGAGAGAGAGAGAGAGAGAGAGGGAGGGGGCACAUCAAUCAAAUAAAAAAUGUUAAAAGUUGAAGCAAAUACAUCUCAAAACCAAAACCAUACCACUCCAUCCAAAGCAUCAAUAAAGCAACAAAACAACAAAUUGAUUGCAAAUAACACAAAAUCACACACUAAAUCCCAGAACCCAAGUCCCCAAACACACACAAAAAAAACCCUUUUUUUUAGCAAUUUAGAGAGAGAGAGAGAGAGAGAGAGAGAGAGAACUCACAGCCAUUAAAUCACUAGUCCCAAAACUCCCAAACUCCCCCAACAACAAGAAGAAGAAGCAGAACAAGAACCCAGUGCUCAAAAACGGCUAAAGGUGCCUCCUUUCUCCUCCCCACACGCUUCUCCCUUUUCCAUAUAUAUAUAUAUAUAUAUAUAUAUAUAGAGAGAGAGAGAGAGAGAGAGAGAGAGAGAGAGAGGAGUCAUGGAUUCAACAGGUUUGAAGCAUUCUACGGAGUAGCGUAGCAGUGGGAAUGAAGAGAACAUAAUAAUAAUAAUAAUAAUAAUAAUAUUAUUAUUAUUAUUAUUAGCGUACGUUUCGCGCUCUCGAGGCGUGUAGAUUAUAUUUCAAUAAAUUUAAAUAUUUAAAUUUAUAUAAAUUUUAAUAAAUGUGUUAUUUAAUUAAUUAAAAAUUAUAAAAAAAUUAGUUAAAAAAUAAUUUUGAGUUGUUUAUUUUCAAGUGUUUAAUCGGUGAGGGAAUCUUUAUAUAUUUUUUUACCAAAUUUUUUAUAAUAAAAAUAUACAGAGGAUCUUAAAUUUAUUAAAUUCAUUAGUAAGUUCAAAACUGAUAAUUUUAAUUAUUUUUAAUUAUUUUAAUUUAACUAAGUAUAAAAGUUAAAAUAAAUUGUAGUCCAGGGUUAUGUAUAUACUUUUACCUACAUUAAAGAAAAGAACACUAUUUGGUGCACCAGGUGUAUAAAUAAAUUUUGUGCACUUUAUUUUUAAAACUUGAUAUAAAGUUUAAAUCCUGAUAAUUUUUUAUAUAGAUGCUUCUUAUAUAGUAUAAAUCGCAUUUAUGAAAAUAUAUUUUAAUUUUAUAAUAUUAAUUAUUUAAAAUUAGGGUUUGUGCAUAUAAUAUUUAUGAAUAAGGUGAAUGCAAUUUGUUUAUAGAUGAGGAAUUGGUUGGGAGCAGAAUUAUUUCGUGCUCCGGGUGUAUAUUAUAUCUUAAACACCAUAUUAAUAAAUCACUAUUUUUGAAAUUUAAACUCUAAUAUUUUGUACAUAAACUGAUUAUCUCUUUUAUAUAGUGUAGAUUAUAUCUAUCAAAUUAUAUUUUAAUUUUAAAUUAAGAAAAAAAAUUUAGUGCAUGCUACAUUAUUGAAGACCAGGUGCAUGCAAUAUUUUUGAAGUGAAUAUGGACUAUUUUUGAAAUUUAAACUCCAAUAUUUUGUACAUAGACUGAUUAUCUCUCUUAUAUAGUGUAGAUUAUAUCUGUCAAAUUAUAUUUUAAUUUUAAAUUUAAAAAAAAAUUCGGUGCAUGCUAUAUUAUUGAAGACCAGGCGCAUGCAAUUUUUUUGAAGUGAAUAUCGAAGAAUGAGUAAGUAAAAUUGCAUGGAGACCCCUUGUGAGUAUUCCGUUUUGAAAUGGACUCUCAUCUUUUAUUGUUUUAAUUAAGAAUCCUCAACUUUUAUAUUUAUAUAGCUUGCUUGAUUUGGGGUUUUUAUAUAAAAUUCCAUUAGGUACUAAAAAAAAUUAAAUUGAUUAAAUUUGAUAAAAUUAGUAACGAAUUUGAGAAAAUCCUUGUUUUCUUUUGGCUAAAAUUGAUUAAUUCUAAAAAAUUAGAAGUUGGAGGAUCUCAAACGAAAAAAUAAAAGAUUAAGAGUCUAUUUCAAAACGUGUUGUAGGUGAGGGGGUAUUACACAUUUUUGCCUUUUUUUCUUUUUUAACUGAGACCCAAAUGGAUUGGAAACAAAUUUUUCUAAGUUUAAUAGUUUAAAUUACUCUCUAGUAAAUAAAACUAAAUUAAUCAACCGCUAAAAGCUUAUUAGAACGUAAAAUUUAGUAAAAUUUUAACUUAAUUAAGCCUAAAAUUUUAAAUAAAAAAUUAGAUCGGGACGGAGACGGAGACGGAGAUGAGGAUGGGGCCCGCGAGUUCGUAGAAAAUCAGUCUCAGCGAAAUUCUCACGAACGUGAAAAAAUUUUUUCUCCCUCUCCGUCCCCACGGGGAUUCCCACUAAUUUUUUAAAAAUAUACUAAAAUUUUAAUUAAAAAAUUAACAAAUUCAAUUUAAUUUAAAUUUAAAUUUAAUUUAAAUUUUAGUCAAUUGUUAUGUUUAUUUUUCUCUAUGUCGAACUAUUAAGUAUGAUUCUCAAAUUCCCAAAAAUGUAUAGGAACCUAAUAUUAUUUAACUAAUGUAUUGUAUAAAAAAUAAUAUAAUUAAUAUAUUUAACUAACAUAUCUCUUUAAUUUACUCAAGAUGUAUAUAGUAUUUUGUAUAUAAAGACGAUGAGUGAGUGUGUUUAGAGUAGUUCCGAAAUAAGAUGAAUCGCUUCAUAAAUAAAAUAUAUUGUUCGACAUAAUCGUAGUUUGUAGAUGCGAAAAUCUUCUAUGGAGCAAAAAUUAAAUUCCUACUUUCAAAUUACAGAAGCAAAUAUUCAUACUCAAAAAGUUAUUUUUAAAAAUUUAUUUCAACAUCCAAACAGAGCCUUAAAAAAAAAAAUUAAAAACUUCUGAAAGCCAAAUUGAGAUUUUGUAACUUAAAAUUAGAAACUAUAGUUUUUUUUANUUUUUUUUUUUUUUUUUUUUUUUUGGUGGAGAAAAGUCAACUUCUUUAGCAUAACUUAGAGAUCUCUCUCUGUGUGAUAAAGUAGAAAAUUAUUUAUGGUUAGCACGAAGAUUAAUUAGAAAUGGUCAAGUCAACAUGGGGCACAUGCCAUAGAAAAAAAAUAAAAUAAAAUAAAAAUAAAAAAAAUAUUUAGAAAGAUCCUAUAAGGGUUAAAUUAAUCACUUUUUAAAAGAUUUGUAUCUUAAUUUUAUAAGCUAUAUGGUUUUCAUUAUUCACCAAUUUAGUAUUUGAAACUAGAUUGAAUAGAAUAAAAUAAUGGGAAGAAACAUGUGUUAAAUAUAAAAAUAUUUAAACACUAUUUUUUAGUAGCUUAGGUUUUUAGAAAAUAACAGUUGUUUUGUUUUAUUUAAUAUGGUAACAGAGCAGUAGAUUCUGAGUUCGAGUCACAGCAAGCAUCUAGCAUUAUUAAUUUUUUCCUAUUUAAUUCAUGUCUACGUCAUAGGCCUACUAAAAAGUUUAGAGCUCAUGCGCGAAAAAGAGUGUUAAUUAUAAAAAUAUUUAAAUAUUAAUUUUUACUAAUUUAAGUUUUUAAAAAAUAAUGAUUGUUUCGUAUUAUUUAACAAUAGGUUUAUCUAAGUGCUAAUAAAAAGCAAAAUUAUUACUUGACAAAAUGACAAGGGAGAAAUUAUUACUUGCACCAGUUUUAUUUGUCUACUCCAUCAAUUUUAUCUUUUUAUUAUCGAUUCCACUAAUUUUUUUGUUAAAUCAAUAAUAAAGUUAAAACUAAAGAAUAGUAAAGUGAAUAUUUGAUAAAUCUAAAUGGGGUAUGUGAAGUUUUUUAUAUAUAAUUUAACGAAAUAUUAACGAAAAAACUGACGAAAAGAUAAAAAUGAAAUCACAGGAUACUAACUUGAUACAUUUUAAACCGCAAGAUAUUAAAGUUAGAUAGUGCGAAACCACAUGGGUGGUAUUUGAAGUUUACCCUAUUUUUUAUGAUUCAUGCUAUAUUAUAAUUAUAUUAUAUGAUUUGCACAGUUUAAAAAGCUUAUGUCUAAAUUCAACUAUUUUGUCAUUUUUAUUAUUAUUAUCUAAGCAUUAACUUAUUCUAACUAUAAAAAAAAAACAUUGUUUAAUUUAUAAAAAAUUCUAAUACAUAUAAUAAGUUAUAUUUUGAUUUUGAGUAUCUCCAUCCUAGUAUUUUCCUAGUAUUUUAGUGGCAUGGUGAAUGAGAUGUGUUUCCUACAAAAUGCAAAUGUUUUAAGCUGUCUCAUCAUUUUUUUAAAUUUUUUUUUUUUUUAAAGAUUGGAUCAUUAAUGCAACAUAGAGAUUAAUGAUAUCAUGAUGAUAUUAUAAUAAUAAUAGCAAUUAAUUUGCCUAUAUAUAUAUAUAUAUAUAUAUACUCUAGAGUUGAAUAUUUCAAAGUCAAUAAGAUUAGGAAGCAUAAUAAUGGGUGUAAUUUUAGUGUUACUCUUUCCAACAUAAAGAGACAAAUAAUAUGUUUCUUUUUUUUACUUUAAACUAAAAAAGAAAAAUAAUAAGUUUUUUUUUUUAAAAAAAGUCUAAUGAUUAGAACAAGCUAAAAUUGACUAAGACUUAGUUUAGUAUUGACGUCUAUCUAACGCUAUUAGAUAAAAUGGAGUUGAGGAAAAAACAUAUAGGGAUAUGCUUCUGCGUUCUCCGGUGGGACCGCAGAAAAUAUAUCGUAACCGACUCAUCACGAUAUGCGGAACGCAAUAUUACGUACAGAAACAAAUAGAAUAUUUUCCCAUCGUAUUUUUCCAUCGUCGUUUCAAGUAAUGCAAUUUUCCCGCAAUCCCAAACGAAGCCUAAGUCAAUAAUGCUAUGUCAAUAUCUAGUAAACAUUAUUACAUCUAAUAAUUUGAUUAAGGGUAAAUUGCGCGUUUGGUUCUCAACCUGCGAGGCACGCGACACGUUAAUCCUUAUAUUUUAAUUUAUGGUAAUUUUUGUCUCGAACUUUAAGAAUUAUUAUAAUUAAGUCUUACAAACCAAUUUAGUUAACUAAUUAUCAAUAUAUUAUUGAUGUAAAAGUGAUGUAACAUCUUAAUUAUUGUCGCCAUAUUAUUUCCACAUUAAGAAUCUGUUCGGUUGAAAAGAGAAAAAUCUAUAUUUGCUUGGUUUGGUGGAAAAAAAAAAGAAUGAAAAAAUUUUACGCAGCUUCAGUUAUCGUUUCCACAAAAAACAGCAAAACGAGAACUUCAAAUUUUCGUUUUUCGGCGAAAAAUAGCAAAAAACGAAAACUUCAAUUUUUCCCAAAUUCGUAAAAAUACUUUUAAAGAAAAAUGUUUUAAGUUGAACAAAACAACCGGAAAACUAUUUUUCAUACGAAAAAUAAUUUUUUAAUUUGUUUUACGCAGAACCAAAUGCCCUGUUAAGCAAAAGUUUGGACAAUAUUUAACCCAAAGAAAAAAUAAAUAAUUUAAAUUUUGAAAAUGGUAACGGUGGAUAAUUGGAUGGUCCACAGAGGAAGUGGUGAACCUGGUCCAUGCACCAUUCUCUUUCCUCUUUAACUGUAAUAACUGAAUAGUAGGAGGAAACCUCGGAUCCGCUCAACUAACUCCUCUCUCUCUCUCUCUCUCUCUCUCUCUUUUCACUCCAAAAUCUCUCACAUUUAUCUUAAACACAUCAAACCCAUCAACCAUUUUCGAACAUCUUCGGAAUCCGAUCACGGCAAUGGCGGUCGGGAACGAGUGGAUCAACGGGUACUUGGAGGCGAUUCUGGACAGCGGAGGGGCGGCGGUGGACGAGCAGCGGGGGGCGUCGCCCAAGGUGAGCCUGGGGGGCCGGGGCCACUUCAAUCCGACCAAGUACUUCGUCGAGGAGGUGGUGACGGGCGUCGACGAGAGCGACCUCUACCGCACCUGGGCCAAGGUGUCCGCCACCCGCAACUCCCGCGAGCGCAGCACCCGCCUCGAGAACACCUGCUGGCGCAUCUGGCACCUCGCGCGCAAGAAGAAGCAGGUCUUUCAAAGAUGCUGACUUAUCAACUGCACUUUUAGAUGAAAUUCACCGGCAUUUUACACGCGAGCGCUGUGUGUCUAUACACUUAAAGUAUACAGACGAAGCGCGCACAAAUCUCGAUCGUGACUCGGUUCAACCUGGUCUGCCGCCACUUUGAACAUGAGUCGAUCCAAUCUGGUCUUCCACCAUUUCGGACGUGACUCAGCCGAAUGUAUGUUUUGUUUCACAUGCAAUGUAUGUUUUGUUUUUAUGGACAAAAUGAGCAGUUGGAAUUGGAGGAUGUGCAAAGGCGCGCGUACCGGCGGUGGGAGCUGGAGCAGGGGUGGCGGGAUGCGACGGAGGACAUGUCGGAGGACCUGUCGGAGGGCGAGAAGGGCGACGUGGUUGGGGAGAUGGUGCAGACGCCGCGGAAGAGGUUUCAGAGGAACUUCUCUGAUCUCCAAACUUGGUCUGAUGAUAACAAAGGAAAGAAGCUCUACAUUGUCCUCAUCAGGUAUAUACAUACAUAGCCCUUUGUCACAAUUUAGAACUGAAUAUUUUCUCUUUGUCACAAUUUUACUUACCUCAGAGAUCUGAAUAGCUCCAUCAUCUUACUCUGCAGUAUGCAUGGUCUCGUCCGCGGCGAAAACAUGGAGCUGGGUCGCGACUCCGACACUGGAGGUCAGGUAAAAUUGGCAAAGCUCAAUUAUAAAUUUAGUCCUACGUUAAACCCAGAUUUUGAUUUCGUCGUCGAAGUUCCAAUUGUAAUGAUUUGGUCCCCAAAGUUUUGUUUAAAUUUUACUUUAUUCAUGAAUCAGAUUCAAAAUUUGAACAGGUGAAAUAUGUCGUGGAGCUCUCUCGAGCCCUGUCGAUGAUGCCGGGCGUCUACCGGGUCGAUCUCUUCACGCGCCAAAUCACGUGCCCUGAAGUAGACUGGAGCUACGCAGAACCGACAGAAAUGUUAACACCAAUCUCAAAUGAAUCAAACAACAGCAAUGAGGAAGUCGGCGAGAGCGGAGGAGCUUACAUUGUCAGAAUACCGUUCGGUCCGACGAACGAAUACCUUCGGAAAGAGCAACUGUGGCCUUACAUACAAGAAUUUGUAGAUGGGGCUCUAGCUCAUAUUUUGAACAUGUCAAGGGUUUUAGGUGAACAAAUUGGCGAGGGGAAACCGGUGUGGCCAUAUGUUAUUCAUGGACACUAUGCCGAUGCCGGAGAUGCUGCAGCUCUUCUCUCAGGUGCCCUAUUUUUUUCAAAAUAUAAAUCACCUGUUUAGAUAUAUAUGUUACUGUAAUAUCUAAAUUUUUCACACAUUUUCAUUUACAGAGAUAUACAUAAAGAAAUAUUACUAUUCCGACAGCAUUCUAUGCGCAUGUAGAAUAGGCGGCGCUCAAAUAUGUGAAUUUUGCUGACCCUUCAGUCAGAUGGUCGCAACUGUUUUACAUGCAUGUGAAAUGUUGCGAGCGUAGUUUUACUCAUAUUUAAUGCCCUUACUUCCGCCUUGUAAAGCUUUACUAAAGAAUGAAAUGCAUCUUAUAUAGGUGCAUUGAAUGUGCCCAUGGUGCUAACCGGCCAUUCGCUGGGGAGGAACAAGUUGGAACAGCUACUUAAGCAAGGGAGACAAUCGAUGGAGGAUAUCGACGCUAUGUACAAGAUAAUGCGGAGGAUAGAGGCUGAGGAGCUGUCCUUGGAUGCGGCAGAGCUAGUGAUCACGAGCACGAAGCAGGAGAUCGAAGAACAGUGGGGCAUGUACGAUGGUUUCGACGUGAAGCUCGAGAGGGUGUUGAGGGCCCGAAACCGGAGGGGGGUGGAUUGCCACGGCCGGUAUAUGCCGAGGAUGGCGGUGAGUUUUCACUCACCCUUUUUUUUUCGAAAAUGUUUACACAUUAUGUUCAUGUAUAGUCUCUAUAAAAGUCGAAGACACGAUUUAGCUAGGCAAUAUGAAGCAUAAGGAGAGUUGUUCUGGUCAAACUCGGUUAUUCUACGAUAAAUAUUAAACUCCUAUUCUUGCAACCCCUCAUAACAUUGUUCAUAUAGUCUAACAAUAAACCAAAAACUGCGGUUAAGAAGUGAUCCUCACAUUUUUUUUGUCGCGCCCAAAAGGAGAAUAUCUUGCUUUUAGUAUGACACUCAAUUUCUUCGUAGAAUUAGACCCAAAAGCUAAUCUGAUACUGAAAUAUUAUCUAACAGAAGCUAAAAACUGUAACUCUGUACUACAAUUGUAUCAUUAGAUUUUGCGUACAGUUUGAUGGUUUCCAUGUAUCACUAUCUUAAUGACCAAAAAAAGUGAGGUGCAAAAAGAGCAAAUGGUGCAGUAACACUUUAAGUAAUUCAUGAAAUUUUUGCAGGUUAUUCCUCCAGGUAUGGAUUUUAGCAAUGUCGAGGUCCAAGAAGAUGCGACGGACAUGGACGGAGAAUCGGCUCUCGAAGGUUCUUCUCCGAGGUCGAUUUCCCCUAUAUGCUCCGAUGUAAGAUACUCCUACUCAUCACAUCUCUUUUCCUUCUAUUGUAUAUUUCCUCCCUCCAAUUUUCUUUCAAAAAUAAAGAGGAAGUUUUCAAUAGGUGAUGCGCUUCUUCACGAAUCCUCACAAGCCAAUGAUCUUGGCCUUAUCGAGACCCGACCCGAAGAAGAACAUCACCACCCUCGUGAAAGCCUUUGGCGAAUGCCGCCCUUUAAGAGAGCUAGCGAAUCUCGUGAGUACUUACUUUUUCCCUAUUGCUCAUAAUCCUUAUCACAAGAAGUGGACAGCAUAUUUGUAAAGAACUGUGGAAGAUGUUAGCAGGCAUAACAUAGCUUAUGAGAAUUAUAUCCUAAUUUAAUAUGCAUAACUUUCACCAGACGCUGAUCAUGGGCAACAGAGACGACAUCGAUGAAAUGUCGUCAGGAAAUGCUAACGUCCUCACGACAGUUUUGAAGCUAAUAGACAGGUAUGACCUCUAUGGAUUUGUGGCAUGCCCGAAGCAUCACAAGCAAUCAGAUGUUCCGGAUAUUUACAGGCUCGCAGCAAAAACAAAGGUUUAGUACAUUUCUGAGCUCUUCAAGCAGUAAAUUCUAAGAUAUUUUAGACAUUAGGUUAGCUCACUACGGUAUAUAUCGAACUACUUAUCCUUUCUCUUCUUUUAUGGCAGGGAGUUUUCAUAAAUCCAGCCCUGGUUGAGCCUUUCGGCCUUACAUUAAUUGAGGUCGGUCGGUCUUAUAUUUAACAUAUAGCUUUCGAUUACCCUCCUACGGUUAUAACCAAAUUCACUACAGCAUCACAUAGUUCGGACUAGAACACUUCACAAUCUGUUCUUGUCGCCCAUUGGAAUUCGUAAUAAAAAUGACAUUAAAUUGAGCAUGUGACAAUCACGUCAUUCAAUGAAUCACUUCAUUUCAAUGAGAUUAAGUCAGACGUACCUUAUUUAUAGUGUUAUUGAUGAGAUAUAUGAUUAUUAUGUACUCAACUUUUGCGGCAUUUUUGUGACUAGACAUAAAGUGGAAUCUGGUCACAUCUUUCCCUAUACUGAACUUCUAUGUAAAUUAAAGUUAUGACUACCUAUAAAACACUUACUCGCGGUAAUAAUAUUGUAGGCAGCUGCACAUGGUCUUCCAAUGGUAGCCACAAAGAAUGGAGGGCCAGUCGACAUUCACAGGGUAUCUAAGCUUUUCCUACAUUAGAAUAUCACAUUAAGAUACUUAAUUCCCUGCUUGCUAUUAAUCGAAAUCUCAUUAUGUUUUGCUGUUCUUGGGGUGUUUCAGGCGUUGAACAACGGUCUCCUCAUCGACCCGCAUGACCAAAACGCAAUAGCAGAUGCACUACUAAAACUUCUCGCAGAUAAGAAUUUAUGGUAUGAAUGCAGGAAAAAUGGGUGGAGAAACAUACACUUAUUCUCAUGGCCGGAGCAUUGUAGGACAUAUCUCACGAGAAUUGCUGCUUGUCGCAUGAGACACCCGCAGUGGCAAAUGGACAGUACGAUGGACAACAAUGUGGCGGCCGAUGAUUCGCUCGGAGACUCCCUCAAAGAUGUCCAAGAAUCUUCUCUUAGAUUAUCUGUCGACAUAGAGAAUAAAGAAGCAACCAAAGGCGAGGGAGAGGUACAAGAUCAAGUGAAACAUAUUAUGGACAAGAUCAAGAGAGCACCGGAUAAUAGUCACAAACAAAAUGAGAGUUUGUCGAGUUUAGGUAAUAAGUAUCCAAUUCUUAGGAAAAGACGGAGAUUGUUCGUGAUAGCCGUCGAUUGUUAUACUGAUUCCGGAGGUUUUGAUAAGAAGAUGACACAAGCAAUAGAAGAGACCAUCAAAGCAGUAAAAUCAGAUCCGCAUUUAGCAAAGAUUUCCGGGUUUGUUCUCUCGACUGCGAUGCCGAUGAACGAGACUUUAGAAUCAUUGAAUAUGGGAAAUAUUCACAUGAAAGAUUUCGAUGCUUUAAUUUGCAGUAGUGGGAGUGAAAUGUAUUAUCCGGGGAGUUAUUCGGGUUCCGAAGAGGAUAGCAAAUUCUCUUUGGAUUUUGACUAUGCGAAGCAUAUUGAGUAUAGAUGGGGUCAUGAGGGCGUGAAGAGGACUAUAGUAAAACUGAUGAAUUCGCAGGAUGGUCAAGGUGAAAACAAAUCCGAGAGCUCUGUUGCAGUGGUAGACGAAGACGAGGGAUCGAGCAAUGGGCACUGUGUUUCAUUCUUGGUCAAAGAUAAAACUAAGGUGCGUAAUAUGCUUUUUCAUGAUUCAGCAAAAAAAAAGGGGGCCUUUUCUCAUUUUUCGUAAAAAAACUACUCAUUUUCAACUUUAGCGCCUUUUUGAACAUCUAGGACAAAACUGCUCCUCCACUACAUGAUCAACAUGCAUUGUUUGGAAUGAUUGAUGCAAAAUACUCAAUGAUGAUACUAAAAGUUAAGAAAUUGGUUGAAGUUGCAAACUAGUUUCACAUUUCUCAAAAAUAACAAAAGAAAUAGUGGAUUCAUGAAAAGGCCUUUCGUGGUAAUUCGGUUCGGUAUCUAAUUUACGAGGACAUUCUAUUUGCAGGCAAUGCCUGUGGAUAAGCUAAGGGAGAAGCUGAGAAUCCGUGGUCUUCGCUGCCAUUUGAUGUAUUGCAGAAACUCAACACGGCUUCAAGUUAUUCCUCUUCUAGCAUCUCGAUCUCAGGCUCUACGGUAUGGAACCUCCUUAGCUUAAUUGUAGAAAAUAAAAAAAAAGGUUUAACAAAACAACGAUUUUUACGUUGCAUCGUUUGAUCGCAAACGACCUCCAUGCGAUACAUACAAUGGAAAUUCGUAACAUUGCUUUUUUGAUACAUAGAAAAGGCAAUGUGACUACUUAGAUCUACUUUCUUUUGCUUACUUGGGUAUUAUUUUUAAUGUCCUAUAUCAUAUCGAAAGUUUUCGCUUCUAUCUUUUCUCUUAUGAAUAGCAUUAGCGUCAAUUUUAUGGAUUUCGGUCCUAAGUACGUUAUAUAAUCAGGAAAUAUGAUAAUUAGGCAAUUCAUAACAUCAACUUACAAUUUAAUUUUACCUGAAUCUAAAGGUACCUGUUCGUCCGAUGGGGUGUAAACGUGGCGAACAUGUACAUUAUCGCCGGGGAAAAAGGGGACACGGACCUCGAAGAACUCCUGUCGGGAUCCCAGAAGAAGGUGAUAUUAAAAGGCGCUGUCGAAAGAGGUUCAGAAGAGCUGCUCAGAACGUCCGGAAGCUACAAGAAGAAAGACAUCGUUCCGGCAGACAGCCCCUUCAUUUUCUACACAAACAACGGAUUCAAGUCAGCAGAUAUUGCGAAAGCAAUUCAAGAAGCAAGCAAAGCUGGUUAUGGGAAGUGAUCUAGUGAUGAUCUACUGAUAAAUAUAACUUCAAACUAUACAUGUUUUUUUUUUUUUUGUCUCUUUGUUUGUUGCACGUAAAUGUUACUUUAUGUUUUGCAACUGAGAGAUGGUUUUUGUUCUGAUAAGUGAGUUUUCAGAUGGAUACUGCAAUCAAAACAAUCAAUUCCAACAAUUUUUUGUGAUAUGUGAUUGUUGUGAUAUGAAUUUUACAUCAUUUAAUUGUUAAGAUCAUCGUAAAAGCGUGCGGAUAUAAAUUUGAUAGUACACAUAACAACAAGAGGAAACAAAAUAAUGGGAAUAAAUUUGCGCUCAUGUUGUAUUAUGAUUCUCCUAUUUUGUGAUUCUUUGUUAAUACCUUUCACUUCUUUAUGAAGAGCACAUAUUACAAAUGAUCAUGUAACCGAAUAACCACGAGAAUUUAUAACCAAUUACGGGAUUUGUCGAGAAAUUAGUGUGAGAAAACUAAACUAAAUCCUAUCAAAAAGAGCAACAAUAUUAAAUGAACUGAAAUUGCGAGUACAUGGAAAUGUGCUCAUACCUGAAGAAAAGGCGAACAAACCAGAAGAGCAGCCACAAAAGUGCAAGCCAAAUCAAGCUACAACCCGCAUUUCUCAGUUACGAUUGCUACCGAAAAGAUCGAUUUGAUAGAAGCAGUUAAGUUAGGAAUAGUCUUAACACCUCUGCUCACAUGCAUGAUAGAUAUAAGGUGAAUUAUCCUGCGUGCAAUAAAAAAGAUUAAAAAUUAGGAUUCAUAUAACUAAAUGGUCUUAAAACAACAAACACUAAUAGAAAAUGAUAUAGAAAUAAUCUUAACACUCUACUCACGUGCAUGAUGAAUAUCAGAUGAAUCAUACCACAUACAUUGACAGAAAAUAUAACGAAAGUGUUAACUAGGACUAGUAGGACAAAGAACGGAUACCGAUAGAAAACUACUUAGAAAUAGUCUGAAUAGUGACCGACGUGUGUAUAUAUAUAGAGAGAGAGUACUAGUACAAGGAGUAUUCAUUGAGACAUUCCAUCAAACACUAGAUAGGCACUCUCCAAUUCCACAGGAGUAAUUUCUUGGGAUUAGGGGAAGUUGCUGCUGUAGUCGCUGUAAUUUCACAGGAAUAUUUUUUUUUAUAAUAAAUUAAAAUGAUAAAUUUUUUACAAUGUUAAGGAUGGAAUAAUAGAACACUCGCACGGGAAUUACAGGGACAGGAGUUGCAAUAUAGGAAGUACAGGGGCUAUCUCGACAUUUUACCCUCAGAAACGUUGGGGACUAAAGUGAAAAUUCUGGUAAAUCUCAGGUACAACUGUGCGAUUUUCGUGCACGCAUGAAGCGCCGUAAAAAUAUGCGGACGUCCCCACAGUAACCUACCCCUGCGGCACACUCUACUCACUUUAACCUACACCAACACCUCUCUCUCUCUCUCUCUCUCUCUCUCUCAUCCUUCGCUACACUCCUCACAGAUCCCGGUCGAGCUCUCGCUCCCCCGAUCCCCUCUUCUAGGGUUUCCUCCUCCUCUCUCUCCCCACCACCAUCUCAAAACCCUAGCUCUAAUCCCAUCUAAUGCGAAGGUACGCUCCGUCGCCUCCUCUCCCGAUCGAACCUCGCUGCGAAUUUGACUGAUAUUUUGUACUAAUUUUCUCCGAUUUGUAUUGCUCGUUGCAGAAUCGGAGAUGGUUGGGGCCGGAGAGGCGGCGGCGGCGGCGGCGGCGGCGUUGGUGGCGGAGCGAGGCAUCAGGCGAAGCAGCUCGGAAGUGGCGGAGGACGAUGGCGGGGAGGCUCGGGAUCGCCGUCGUCGUCCUCGUCGUAUGCACCCUAUCGCUCUUCUCCUCGAUCGGCGUCCCUCGCCCGUAUAGCACAGUGAGGGUUCGUAGUGUUUCCUUUUGAUUCCUCUGGGGUUUCGUGUUCUUUUGUUGGAUGUUUAGGGUUUUGAUUCGAGUGGCCUAAAAUGCGCCUAAUGGCUGUUGAUAAAUGCAACAUUUUUGUACCAGUUUAAUGUAGCAUUGUUAGAAUUUAGUUUAGAUUUAACUUAUUUAAUGCAUAUGAAACACUUUUUAUAUGGAUUGUUACUUUCUGGUUCUAGUUGUAAUAUUGUAUUUGUUAAUGAUUCUGAAUUUUUAGUUCUUCGAUGUUUAACUUGUGAAGCUACUAAAUAGAUGUAUAUGUUUUUACUGGGCACGGGUUUAUGGAUUGUGGACUAUGUGUAUAUAACUGGAAUCAUUUGAGCUGUUAUACUUGGUACAAUGUUGUCCUUGUUUAUGCCUUUUUAUUUUUCUUAUUUUUCUGCCUUUUAUGUUAUGCCGGAAUCCUUCAGAAGGUUGAUGUGAAUGAUCUGUGGAGAACUGCUGAUUCUGGUGGUUGGAGAGCAUCAUCGGCACCACGGUCCUACUGGCCUCGUAUGUAAUUUUCCUUAACCUUGUCGUAUAGUGCUUAUAUGUAUUCUCACAUUCAAUUAUGAUGGCUAAUUAUCCUUUAUGAUUUGACUGUUGUAGCUCCUCCAACUGAGAGCAAUGGUUAUUUACGUGUGCGGUGCAAUGGCGGCUUGAAUCAACAACGGAGUGCGGUACGAAGAGUAUUCCCAUUUAUAACAGUCUAUAAGGCUUUAUCUCAUCCAUUUAAGUUCAUAUGGACGUGUCUGAGUAUUUGUUGUUGCUGAUGUUAUAGAAUUGAACUUCAAUUUAGGCAAAUACACCUUUGUCUAUUCUUCCAUGCUUGGCUAUAAUUUUGGUUAGUUAAUGUGCUUUAUAGCCAGCACAUAUCUAACUUGGCAAACAUCUCUUUCGUUAUGAUUUUGCCUCAUGAAAUAUUGAUCCCUGUUUGUGGGUUUCAUAGAUAUGUAAUGCUGUUGUUGCUGCGCGAAUCAUGAAUGCUACGUUGGUGCUGCCUGAUUUGGACACAAAUUCUUUUUGGCGGGAUGAGAGGUAUCUCCUUUUCUUCAUCUCAAUUCAUCCUGUAUCCGUGUUGCUUGUACUUCUUUGUUUCUUAUUUUAGAUGAGUAGAUCAAACAUUUACGAUGAUCUUUGUAUUGUGAGCAAGUAGCAAGUAAAACUUCAUGGUAAAUCAAGCCUAAUUUCCUUUUGGGUUGCACAUCUUUUUUGCUUUCAGCAUUAUUUGUAGUGCACUUUAAAAAUUUGCUAAAGAUAGAAAUGACUUUCGAAUUUAUUAGAUAUAAAGUUAAUGCGGAAAAGACUGAUUAAACCUGGUGGACUGCAAGAAAUCAGUGUUUUUUGGUUGACACAAUUGCCGUUAAUUAAGAAAAUUAGACUAAAAAAACUAUGCUAUAUGAAUUUAAAAUAAUUUAGUUGAAUCUUUUUCUACUUGCUUAUAAAAUACCUGCUUUUCCAUGUUUAAUUAAUUUACGGUUUAUUUUUAUGCCCAGCGGUUUUCCAGGUAUCUACGAUGUAGAGCACUUCAUCAAGUCACUGAGAUAUGAUGUGCGCAUUGUUAGAAGCCUUCCAGAAAUCUCUUCAAAUGGAAAGACCAAGAAGAUGAAAUCUUAUCAGGUAAAGCACUAAAUCUUAGUGACGUAUCUUCCACAUGGUACCAGGAUCACAUGUCUAACCGCAUAUUUUUGUGGGGUAAAAUAUAUGGAUAGUGUCUGUGUCUGUACUCUGUACUAUCCCGAUAUUGCAGCUGAAUUUACGUUCUUAAGCAAAAAGUUCAGGAACUAAGUUGCAGCAUUCACUAUAUCGGGAUAGUUAGGGGACUUCACCUGUUUUGUAUUGAGUUGCAUUUGUGUCAUAAGCUUUUUGUUUUACUCGUCUUUCAGAUUCGUCCACCAAGAGAUGCUCCUUUAAGCUGGUACACAACAUUUGCAUUGGAAAUGAUGAAGCAGCAUGGUGCGAUUUAUCUCACUCCUUUUUCACACCGUUUAGCAGAGGAGAUUGACAACCCUGAGCUUCAGAGGUUGAGAUGCCGUGUUAACUAUCAUGCACUUAGGUUUAAACCUCACAUCAUGCAAAUAAGCAGUGAGAUAGUGAAUAAACUCCGUGCACAAGGCCACUUCAUGUCAAUACACCUUCGAUUUGAGAUGGAUAUGCUUGCAUUUGCUGGGUAUGUGAUUUUACCGAUGCUGUUAACUAUAUGCAAUCAUUUCCUCGCAUAUCUACCCGUGUGGACAGAGAAUAUGUAAAGAAUAGAUAGUGUCUGAUUUGAUCAUUUGCAUGAUUACAAUCGUUGGCAUGAAUUUAAUUAUUAGAAUGGUUGCGGAACAUUGAUUUUUUUCCUUUCUAUUCUUCCAUGAUAAAGUUCAAAAAUUGUUUUCUUUCUCAAUGUAAGUUCGUCUGUAUUUAUUGCUUGCAUUGUUGUUUGGCAAUACUUUGGUCAUUUUUUAGAUGGUCUUUCGAAGUUGGAAGUAAGUUUUUCUUUUCCAUGCGGUGAAUAGUUCAGUGUUGGUUUAUGUACCUAAACUUUUCAUUAACAUGACUCAAAUCUACUUGGUUCUUGUAUUGCACUGGUAAAAAAGUUUAUUGAUGCCAACUGAUAUGUGAGCAAUUUGAUUUGCUCUCUAAUGAAACUAAGCUUGAUGCUGUGAUAAGACAAAUUCAUGUGGUUGCGAAAUGUAUUUAAUAUUAAAUGUGAAAAUUUUCAGGUGUAUUGAUAUAUUCACACCGGAAGAACAGAAAAUCUUGAUCAAAUACAGAAAAGAGAACUUUGCAGAGAAGGAACUUGUUUACAGAGAAAGGAGGCUCAUCGGGAAGUGCCCAUUAACUCCAGAAGAGGUAAAGCUUUAUCAAUAUUUUAUCCUCAUGUUUAUUCUCAUCACUGUCAAUGUUUACGACUUAUUGCUUUUCAUCGUUAUCAUGCAUUGGUUGUGCUCAGCUGUUCACUUUGCAUUUUCAUAUCUUCCUUAUAGUUUAGCUUCGUCUUAGAUCUGUAGUAGCCUGUAAUCAAUUCGGUAUCAAAGCCAUGCAUAUACAUAGUGAGAGACAAGUGAUUUUUAUAGAAAUCGAGCUAGAAAAAAAUUGGAGCAGCCCCCUUUCAUGAGUACAACACCACAUUAUUGAAAAGUUAUGUUCUUUGAGAGGUUUUUUCAGUAGCAUCAAGUGAACGAAAAAAAUACACAGCUGAAAGAAACUGGGGUACACGACAAAGUCGACAAAGUAGUCUUAGAAUAUUAUAGAUGUCGCCUGCUGCAAAUAGAAAAACCAUUAUGCGAGGUCAAAUGAGUACUACCUAUUUAUGAUAGCUUAAUCUGAUCUUACAACUUAAAUCGCGACUGGUGCUGCCGAUCUAAGCCUACCGUAUGUUUUUUGUGGAAAGCAGACAAUGUUGUUGUUGAUCUAACCUGUUUAUGAAAUCAACUACAAUAUCUGCGAUGCAGAACGAUAUGAAAUAUUGGGAGCUCUGUUGCUGUACUUUAUUUAUGUUGCGGAACAUUCUAGUUCCAAUGUUUGCAAUUUGUCUGUAGUCAUUGACUCAUUGUAUAUCAUAAAUAUUUAUUAUGCCUCUGACCUCUUAUAAAAAACUGUCAAUCAAUCACUGAUGCGAAGAAAUAACCUGAAAAAUCUUUGGUGCAAAAUGAAAAGGUUGGUCUCAUUCUGCGCUCCAUGGGGUUCGACAACUCUACUCGAAUCUACCUCGCUUCCGGCGAGCUUUUCGGGGGGGAGCGUUUCAUGAAGCCAUUCCGAGAAAUGUUUCCUCACCUCGAGAACCACAGCUCGGUGGGACCCGAAAAGCUCGAAGAGAAUGCUCGAGGGUUGGCGGGCUCCGCGGUCGACUACAUGGUCUGUCUCCUCUCCGACAUCUUCGUGCCCACAUACGACGGCCCGAGCAACUUCGCCAACAACCUAAUGGGCCACCGCCUCUACUACGGGUUUCGAACCAUUAUACAACCCGAUAGAAAGGCCUUGGCCCCUAUUUUCGUCGACCGGGAGGAGGGCCGGGGGUCCGGGUUUGAGGAGCGGGUUAGGCAAGUCAUGUAUAGAACGAAUUUCGGCGGGCCGCACAAGAGAGUGCGGCCCGAGUCGUUCUACACGAACUCGUGGCCCGAGUGCUUCUGCCAGCCGGAGUCCAAGAACCCAAAGGACAAGUGCCCGCCGGAGAACGUUGUAGAAGUUUUGGGCAGCCAGUUGCAGAGCGAGGAGAGCGAGGGUUCGGAGGAAGGGAAGGAUGCGAAUCAGGCAGCCGCGACCGGUCGAGCAGAAGAAGAGGGUUCAACUUGAAGGGCGACUGUUAUUUUUAAUCUACAGCUCGGAGAAAUGAUUGUUUGAGUGGCUCGGCGCGGAACGUGUUCUACUCUGAAUCGAUAGAGGUUUCCGAGCUACAAAUUCGGAACGUUGAAGACAAGCUACGGAGAUUGAGAUCGAAACAUUCUGUGCGGCGGUCAGAGUAAAUUUUUUCCCCCCCCUUUUCUUUGUAGUGAUAUUUUUUUUUGUAAGAAGUGAUUCGAACCUCAUUAAUCAAUCGCCAUCUUAGUUUGUAAAAAUUUGAAAACACGAUGAUUUCUUAAGAUAAUAGACAAUGAUAAUAAGUUGGGUUUUAAACUAGAAGGUAGUGAUGCUCUCUUUCUUUCAUUCUGUUUUCUCUCUAUUUCAUUUGUGUUGAAGAACUUGGAAUGCAUAAGAGUCCAAUUUUGUAUUUUGAAGUUUAGAUUGAACUGUACCAUGUAUCUUUCUUUUCAUAAUCAUGUGGGCACAUAAAUAAAUGUGCAUAACACAUCACUGCAAACCUCGAUUUUUCGCCGCCACUUCGCAUUUGUUGUCUUUCGAGGGCUUCUUACGGCUUUACCACCUGGGCUCAGGUUGGAAUUGUGAGCGCAAUAUGUUAAGAUCAGAUGCGAGUUUGCUCCGUACUCGGGCGAAAAUGCACACCAUCGAACUUCGCAACCACAACUACUUCCAAAUAUCGGCGAUCUUCAGUUACGCAAACUUGCCGCUUCAUCACCGCAGUUCCCUCGGAACAAACACAACAGUAUUGCAUGCACUGCAGUACACACUGCAGGGUCUUCAAAACUCAAAGCUAGUGUUUGUUGGAUCGUUGGCGCUAACCAUUAAUUUCAAAAGCUCGAACUGUUAGAAUGCGCAAUCAAUUCACUUAAAGCGUACUGAUACAGCGUCCACGAGUCUCGAUUGUGAUUCGGCUCAACCAGCCUCACGCCACUUCAAACAUGACUCGGCCAACCCAAUCUCACGCCAUUUUGAAUAUGACUUAGUCUAACAUAAUCUUCCGCCACAUGGCAGAAUGCUGCCCUAUUUAAGCCAACAGUAUUUUCUCUCAGAGAGAGAGAGAGAGAGAGAGAGAGAGAGAGAGAGAGAGCUCCUCAAGGCGUUUAUCGAUCGAUCCUAAACUAGUUUUCACAAUAAUCUCGCCGAACUUCAGCGACAUAUUAUCUGUUUGCCGACCUGAAGAAAAGUGUAAAAACAUGUACAACAUUUCUUUUUCCUAAACCAUAAAUCAAGACCAGGAAUAACAGGGGCCGAAAAGAAAUUGACACUUGAAGAUGUACACAAAGAAAGAUGCAGGAAAAUCCGAACUUCCAAAGUAGGCCGAAACACCAAAUAUGUUUCAGAAAAAAUUGCAUAUAAGCAUAUAACAUAAUCCAACAUUACUAUAAGGAAAAAUAAAAAUAAAAUCACCUUUAGUACAAAUUCUAUGCUUUUAUAGUUUACAUAGGAAUCACUGUUUACGAUUGCUAUUAUCACUACACAAGAAUUUUCCAGAUUCUGCUAAGACAUACCGUUCCUCAAAAACUUAACCAACAAUUUUUCCAUCGUUUAAUUGACCUCGCCGCGCGCCUUAAACUCCUCACCCCUGCGAAAAAAAAGAGAAAAAAAUAACUUUUGUGACAUAAACUAAGACACCGUCGAAGAAAAGAAAACGUUUGCGAAGAUGAGUCGAUCUAUUCGUACAUGCUGUAUUGAGAUAAUACACCAAAAGAUCUAAAAAAGAUCGAGGGAAGCUCAGGCGGGUAACUGGAGCUUGACAUUAUUCUUCCAGCUGCAGAUCAAAUCAAAGUUCAGAGUCAUUCUGUGAAAUUACAAUUCCUAAUUGCGACAAAUAUAUAUAGAGAUAUAUAGAUUCAUAUAAGCCCGCUAAACAAUUUAGUUUUAGACACACGCCCUUGUACUCAAACUUCAAGAAAUUGCACUUUCAGGGAGCAUAUAUGAAAAUUUGGAUUUUACUGGAGUAUAUAUAUGUAGAUAGUUUUGCUAGGAUAUGCAUGCAAAAAAGCUCUGUUGAUUCAAGGGCUACAAUAGCUUACCUAAGAAAGUAAUAGUAGAAGAAAUCGGCGUAGAGUAGCGUCUGCACGAGUCCGGAUAUCCAGGCUGCGACACAGUAAACAUACCAGCAUUAAGGAUAUGAAAUAUUAUAUCAAACGUAAAGAUGUGAAAGAGAUGGGAGGGUAAUUAGUAGAUUUUCAUACUUAUCCAAUGAACAUAGUGGGGUUCGGUGAAGUAGCGAUAAAUCCAAUUGAGGAUGUAUAAUGCUCUGUAUGCACUGCAGCAGGAAACGAUGGAAAAAAAUUCAAAUGAAUGGAAACGAUACCGCUUUAAAUUAUAGUGGCAUUUAUUGACAACUAUUGUGACUCAGGGAGGUAAUCGUUCUAGGAAUAUUUCAGAAGAAAAUGGUACUGCAUUAGUUUAUGCAAAGGUGCAGAAUUUAAAGGGACGAUUCCUAAACUUCAUGUAGAUUAGGUUGUAAAAUAUUUACUAAACAUGCGAAUCAAAUAAACACUGCAGAAGUUAUCUAGAAUUAGAUGAGAGAUGCGCAUAGCAAGAAAAGUGCUGUAUUAACACAGAAGUAGAGCACUUAGUAGCACGGUCGUGGAAGCUUCAAGUUUAUCUGAUAGCUUUUGCUACUAAAUUAACACGGUCGAGUGGAAACUCAAAUGAUAAAUUUCCAGCUAAACAGUUAGACAUAGCACGAAAAGCAUACACAGGCAAAAUAGAAGGUGGAUUUUGAGAUGAAGUUUACCCUAGAAGAAAAACAUAUUGCCCGGUCAAAUUGUCAAUAUUCCUCGUGCGUUGCAAUAAAACUAGUUGAGGGAGAAUCGCAACAGCCUCCAAAAAUAAAGAGAAUGUCCACAUCACCUGUAACAACAGUGACAGUAAACUGAAUUUAGAUAGGAAUAAUAAGUAUAUUAAGAAAAGGGGGAAAAAAAUAGAGUUGGAUGGUUAUUAAAAUUAUCUCCGCCAAAAUUGUUUUUCAUAUAAAAGGAUAGUUUAAUUCAUAUAUACACCAGCGCCAUGCGAAAUUGGUAUUUGCAUGCGUACCCCUGAAACUCUUGCUUGUGUGUGCCAUGCCAGCAUAUCUAUGAAAAUUUGGCUUUUGCAUUAUACCCUUUUUAGUAGGGGCAUGAAUGCAAAUAAGUACCGUAUUCAGCGUACGGACACAAAUACCAACUUUACAUGGCAUUCAGGCAAUUUCAUGUAUUUGCACAGGUACAUAUAUGUGAAUAUCCCAAGAAAACAAUGUUACAAAGAGAAGGAAAAUACGUGCUGUACUGAAGGCUUGUACAUGUAUGCCUAAGAGCAGAAACAUUUUGAAACAAUAAACACACCUCCAUAAAAGUAAACUUUUCAUUUAUGAGUAGGGCCAAGAGCAAACAUGGCAGUAUGAGAAAGUGGUGGCGGAAGGUGUCUUGAUCCUUGUCGUAAGUCCUGCGUACAAUCUUGUGGUGUCUCAUGUACCAUAAGAUCGAGAACGAGCUUCCCAAGAAGAUCAACUUCAUGACCGUAUUAUAGAGCGAAACAAAAUGAAUGAAAAUAUCCAAAUAUCGAGUUGCGAACACGAGAGCAUAUAACUCCUGAGUCUUCAAUGAAAUGCCUGCAGGAAACAGUUGGAUGAAUCAAGUAAAAAGAUCACACCAUAUGAAAUUAGUUUGGAAAACAAAAAUAGUUUUAGCAGUCUAAGGCAAUAGAUCGACACAGAUAAAAUAUGCAAAAGAUCCAAACUAUGAAAACCUAGAAAAUAAGCAGUAUAAUAUAACUUAAUCUGAGAAUUACGUGAUUUGAAGGCACAUGAAGUUCAUAAUAGUGCUUUUCAAUGAAACACACUGCCAUUUUGCAAUAAAUACUGAUACAAUUAAUCGAACUAGUUCGCAAACAAGAAGACGCACAAUAGAAAUGCUGCUACGUUUUGUCUAAAACAACAACAAUCAGGUCUUAAUCUGAGACCAGGAGAGUGCAAAACCAAUGAAAAGAAACUGAAACAUUAGGAAAGAUUACUACGUGAUAAAUAGUUGAUCUAAUUGAAUUUAGAACUACGAUUAAACAAAUUCAUCUACGGCCUACAUAUCAUCGAGGUAAUCUCUCUGUUCCCUUAGCGACUCCAAAUUCCUUUUUUUUCCUUUUCGUGCAAGCGUAACCCCCACACAUUAUUUUAUUUUGCAUGCUUAAAUUUUGGUUGUAAAGAGAUCAUGUGGAUAAAGGAAGCAUUUCAAACACUCAUUCAAUCAACCAUAUCCAACACCCAAAUAAUGCGUCAAAAAACAUAUCAUAAUAUUACAAUUCUCAUACCUAAUCACUCAAAUUAUGUUAAUAAUAAUGUGUCAAAACAACAUAGUUUUUUAACCCAUAAUAUUAUAAUUCUCAUACCUAAUCACUCAAAUCAUAACAUAGUUCUUUUUUCUUUUCUUUUUUUUACCAACAAAGAAACUGUUUUAAGAACUCAAAUCCAAUAAGGGAGAAAAAAUAAUCUGAACAAAUCGCCAUAAUUCAUUAUCAUUUCCAGCACACCAUUUCCUAUUUUUCCUCAUCAGAAUCAAACCCCUAAAGUACUUGUUCAAAAAUAAAAAAGAAG